RNAcentral lists this transfer RNA (73 nucleotides) under Camelus bactrianus (Bactrian camel). It matches the Rfam family "tRNA". From Rfam's summary of the family: Transfer RNA (tRNA) molecules are approximately 80 nucleotides in length. Their secondary structure includes four short double-helical elements and three loops (D, anti-codon, and T loops). Lineage: Eukaryota; Metazoa; Chordata; Mammalia; Artiodactyla; Camelidae. The record is from Rfam by way of RNAcentral. RNAcentral also lists the same sequence under 2 other names.
GAGGGUAUAGCUCAAAUUGUAGAGUACAUGCUUGGCAUGCAUAAGGUUUUGGAUUUAAUCCCCAGUACCUCCU